CAGCAGCCGCGGGAAUACGUAGGGUGCGAGCGUUAAUCGGAAUUACUGGGCGUAAAGCGUGCGCAGGCGGUUAUAUAAGUCAGAUGUGAAAUCCCCGGGCUCAACCUGGGAACUGCAUUUGAGACUGUAUGGCUAGAGUGUGUCAGAGGGGGGUAGAACUCCACGUGUAGCAGUGAAAUGCGUAGAUAUGUGGGGGAAUACCGAUGGCGAAGGCAGCCCCCUGGGAUAACACUGACGCUCAUGCACGAAAGCGUGGGGAGCAAACAGGAUUAGAUACCCGCGUAGUCCCUGUCUCUUAUAC
This 301-nucleotide ribosomal RNA is filed under the name uncultured bacterium. RNAcentral's name for it is "partial 16S ribosomal RNA". It matches the Rfam family "Bacterial small subunit ribosomal RNA", at positions 509 to 807 of the family's 1533-position model. The record is from RNAcentral.